Molecule: ribosomal RNA, 539 nt
Filed under: Pseudarthrobacter phenanthrenivorans Sphe3
Lineage: Bacteria; Bacillati; Actinomycetota; Actinomycetes; Micrococcales; Micrococcaceae
Description: bacterial SSU rRNA
Rfam family: Bacterial small subunit ribosomal RNA
Source: RNAcentral
CUGCAUGGGCGCAGCCUGAUGCAGCGACGCCGCGUGAGGGAUGACGGCCUUCGGGUUGUAAACCUCUUUCAGUAGGGAAGAAGCGAAAGUGACGGUACCUGCAGAAGAAGCGCCGGCUAACUACGUGCCAGCAGCCGCGGUAAUACGUAGGGCGCAAGCGUUAUCCGGAAUUAUUGGGCGUAAAGAGCUCGUAGGCGGUUUGUCGCGUCUGCCGUGAAAGUCCGGGGCUCAACUCCGGAUCUGCGGUGGGUACGGGCAGACUAGAGUGAUGUAGGGGAGACUGGAAUUCCUGGUGUAGCGGUGAAAUGCGCAAAUAUCAGGAGGAACACCGAUGGCGAAGGCAGGUCUCUGGGCAUUAACUGACGCUGAGGAGCGAAAGCAUGGGGAGCGAACAGGAUUAGAUACCCUGGUAGUCCAUGCCGUAAACGUUGGGCACUAGGUGUGGGGGACAUUCCACGUUUUCCGCGCCGUAGCUAACGCAUUAAGUGCCCCGCCUGGGGAGUACGGCCGCAAGGCUAAAACUCAAAUGAAAUUGACGG